This is a non-coding RNA of Heterocephalus glaber (naked mole-rat), 4943 nucleotides long. The record is from RefSeq and is a predicted model, not a curated record. NCBI's taxonomy places the organism in Eukaryota, Metazoa, Chordata, Mammalia, Rodentia, Bathyergidae.
CUUGCAGGGUGCCCCGGAUUAUGGCAAGGUUAUUAAUCUUGAUGUGCUGCAUCCCCCACCCCCAACCUUCGGCAGCCUGCAUUGAGAUGAUUGCCAGAGCCGUGUCUGUCCCUGUUCUACUGCAUUUUGCUCAGCCCUCUGAUGCUGCCAUUGAGACACCGCGGAGGCAAGAAUACUAAUAAGCUCUGCCCUGGUGGGCCACCAAGUAGAACAGCUGGACUCCGUCAAGCUUCCUGGUGCUGAGAGACAUGUUUCAAAACUUAAUUUUACAAACUGGUUUUGAUUUUGUUCUUGUCAGCACUUAGCUGUGUGACACUUGGCCAUUCCUUAGCCAUUAACAUGUACAUCCACGUUUUUAUUUGUCUAUGUGCUUGCUCUCAGACUCAUGGAGAAAAAAAAUCACUUUCUGGAUUAAUUCUGAACUUAAGCAGAAUAUGGACUUAGAAAAUCUCAUUGCAACUCACUGCUUCUGUGUCAAGACUUGCUCUGAAGCCAAUACUAUCACCAAACACUAAACCAUGGUGUUCAUAAAUGCCCUAUGCACUGAAUAUCUACGUCUCCUUAAUUCCCAUAUUGAAACCCACAGUCCCAGUGUGGGAUGAUGUUUGGAGGUGGAGUGAUGGGAUUCAGGACAAACGACUGCAAAUGACUGAGGCAUUUGAGAAAGCAACAGAAUCAGGAAAGUCAUUCUCAACGUCCUCUCGCCCCUUCUCUGAAGCCAGCCGUAAAACCUAAUGACUGUCCCCUGAAGUUAGUCAUGAAGCCUUCAUUCCAGGGUCCCCUGCCUACAACUGGAGGAGAGGAAACAUCUUGUCCUUAAAGACACAGAUGCACCAGGAAGUGUUUGGGCCACGGGACUAGCUAAAUUCCCCCUAGUUGAUCACCAUUAGAAUAUUCUACACUCUGGCCAAUUACACAACUGUCUAGUUUUAUCAAAUCUAAGCAUAAAAUACAUAGAAUUCCCUGCUUGGCUUCCUUAGUAAGGGCUCCUAGGUCACAUAAAAGUCAGAAUAAAUCAGUUUGAAUGCUUCUCUCUUAUUAAUUUGUCAUUUUUUAUAGGGGCUUCAGCUGUAAACUUUGUGACAGGUGAAGAAACAAUAUUAAUCGAUCUUUCCCACAGGGGUCUUUGGGAGGUUAUUAAAUCAUAAGAGUGGAAAACUCAUAGAAUUAGUGCUCUUAUAAGAAGAAACAUUUCUUUCUCUCCUCCCUCCUCCCUCAUCCCUCCUUUCUCUCUCUGCGUCUCUCUGUCUCUCUCCCUCCCUCCCUCCUUCGCGCCUUUUUGAGAAUACAACAAGGAGUUUAUCUUAAACUACAGUGAAGACCCUCAACAAAUUGACAAGUAGCACCUUAAAUUUGAACUUCUAUAUUCUAAAAAUAUAUUUUUGUUGUUUAAACCAGCCAUUUUAAAAGCAUCUUUAUAGCAUAGCCCAAGUUGACUAAGACACACCGUGAAAAAAAUACCCCAAGAAAUAAGCAUAGUUCCUAAAUUAGCAAUUCCAUGAUAAACCACAUCAGCUUAGCGCUGAAACUCAGAUUAUCACUUGAAAUGACCGGAUAUGAAGUUUCUUGAUUAUUGAUUAUUGAACAAUUAAUAUCUAUCCUAUAAAUCAUUUGCAAAGGCAAAGGAACACAAGAAAGUAGCCAUGGAUCUCAGUUACAUAGAAAUUCUUUCCAGUUCUCCUGAAGACAUGUAAGAUAAAAUAUGCAAGUUAGGAAAACCAGACAGCUUACCUGUGAGCCCUGUGUCCUUCAGCCAACAUCUUAAAAAACUGGGAUAAAUUUAAUUAUUUGUAUAUUAAAGUUGAACAAAACUUUCUUUGAAAUCAGGUUUCUGGUUUAUAUUAAAUAUAUUUUUCUCUGAUUCUGAGAAAGUUUAUCAUCAUUACAGUCCCCUAUAAAUUGAAACAUAGUAUAUUACAAAGAACACAAAAAUCCAGAAUAUUUAUGAGCCCUCUCUUCCCCCUGCAUACAAAGACUUCUCCUCCAGAAGAUGUUAUUAGAACAUCUCAACUUUUAAAAAGUUGGCAAGAAAUCUGGGUCUGCUGAACAGUAUGUUUAAUUAAAGGUAAAUAUAUACACCUAAAUCCACAUUAACAGAAAAUUCUAAAUUCUCCUGGUAAAAUGAUUCAUUAACUACAUACAUAGUAUGACAGGAGAUAAAUGAAUGACUUUUAUUUCAAGGAGUUUAUUCCAUAUUUGCAGAGGACUGUAAUACUGAUUAUGCCCAAAGCAGGCUGUGAAGAGUUAACACCAGAACUGGAUUGUUUAUAGAAGUGAGUCGAGCUGAAGCCUGUGUGCCAAGGUCAGAGCAACUCGCACCCAAAUUCCUUUCCUACAACUAAAACUUUCAGACUAGGACAAUGUUCUAAUUACAACCAUAUAUUUUGUCUAUUCUGUUCCUAAUUCAAGAAUGCUUUCUCUUGUCCUUUAUGAGUCUUGUUUACAUUAAUUUCCACAUAAACCACAUGUCACCUUUACCCCAAUUGAUUGCCAAUAAAAGUCAGUGCCUGGGACUGGCCAACGCCUUUGUGGGUUACACUGGCAUUGGUCAUCCUGGCACCCCACUUUCUCUCUCUUAGUUCAGUCUCUUAGUGUAUUCUUUUUCUCAGGUCUGCAUCGUAUACUGGGCAGGUGGGUACUGGAUCCUGACUACAGAGGUCUCUGGCAAUUGGUGCCCAACUGUUGAGGACUUUUGAGGACUCCCCUUGGUGAACAAAGGAGCAGCUGCCUGGAAAUAUUUUCCAGCCUUUGCUCACUAGGGAGACCUCAACAGUUUCCAUACUCUUACGACAGACUGACCCGAUGGUUUUCAUAGCCUUAAAAAAGACUUACAUCGAUGAAUAUUACUUAAAUAUGUUAUUGUAAUAUGUUUACGUUUGUUGUCAUCAAAGGGUUAAGUUCUAAGUAUGUCAUAGUGAUAUAUGUUUACACUGGUCAUCUUCAAAUGAUUAAACUUUCUGUGAGAAAAACAACAAGCUUUUAUUGAAAAGAUGUUUUGGUACCAAACUAAAUUAAAGGGCAUAAGGUAUCAUACAUAUAAUUGUGAUAAUUAUUAUUAUUGUUAAUUUUCUGAUGUACUAAAUGUAUUCAUGCUUUCUGACUGUACAGGUUUUCUAAUAUAUUGUUUAUGGUAAUAAUCUUUUGAUUCAGGUAUUUGCCUUUUUCUUAUACUACAGCUACUUAUGAUAAGAGGUACAUUUAUAGGCUGAUGUUUUUUCUUUGGGAGACAUCCUAUCAAAGGAUAACAAUUUAGAUGAGAAGAUUUUGUGUUUUGGGGAGAGAAUGAGAAUGUUUAACAAUGGCUAUUUUAUAUUAAGAUGGAUAUUUAAGUGUGUUACAAAGAUAAUGUCAUCAUGAUUGUCAUGCUAAAAUAUCAUGUGUGGCUCUUGAUUUGAAGUUUUCUUUCUUUUAACAUUUUACAGGAAUUCUACUACUAGAACAGCCAUGAUUGAUAAUAAUAACUAUAUUUUAUAUUUCAAAGUGCUUGAUAUCCAGAUAAAAUUAUAAUUAUUAAGUUCACUAUUCCCAUUGCAAUGCUAAUGUUAUUGAUCUUCUCUUCUGGAUGUUCAACAACUAAAGUUUAGAGACCAGAACUAGAAAGGUAACUGGGCUAAGAGGACAGCCUGUAUUUUGGCGCUGGCCCUACAAGGUCUACAAAUAACCCAGGACAUGAGAGAACUUUGGCUACAAGAUCCUACAGCUUUGAAAAUAAAAAGAUACUGUGGCCAUCAUCCUAAAAUGUACCACCAUGGACCAAGAUGGUAGAUUUGCUGCAAGCAUCAGCACGAUGUGACACCCCUGCUGAGAGUCAUGCAAAGGCUACAUUUGAGUGACUCCCCUCACCUGCUACAGCCCUGGAACCUGCAAAGAUCACCAGACCUGAUCCAACUGCUGUUUUCAAACAGAGAAGAGGGAAAUGCAGAGGUCUGUAAUACUGAUUAUGCCCAAACCAGGCUAUGAAGAGUUAACCAACAAUUGGCUUUUUUAUAGACAUGAGUCUGGCCUAAGCCUAUGUGCCAGGCCGAGGUCAGAGUAACUUGCACCCAAAUUCCAUUCCCAUAACUAAAACCUUCAGACUAGAGGGACAUUGUUCUAAUUACAAUCAUAUAUUUUGUCUAUUCUGUUCCUAAUUCAAGAAUGCUUUGUCUUAUCCUUUAUGAGCCUUGUUUACAUUAAUUUCCAUAUAAACCACAUGUCACUUUUACCCAACUGAUUGCCAAUAAAAGUCAGUGCCUGGGACUGGCCAGCAACUUUAUGGGUUACAUUGGUAUUGGUCAUCCUGGCACCCUGCUUUCUCUCUCUUAUUUCUGUCUCUUAGUGUAUUUUUUUCUCAGGCCUGCAUCGUACACUGGGCAGGGUACUGAAACCUGACUACGUGGGUCUCCAGUAAUACUGAGUAUGAAAGGAUCGCACCACCAUCAGUAUGAAAAAGUUCCUCUUAGAAACCCUGUGUAGAAAUUUCAGCUUCAGCUUUCAUUGACACAGAGGUGACAGGUACCAUGGCACCGUGCUUGUGUUUGCUCCCUGUAGGGAUGAAAAGAAAUCAGCCCAAGAACAGGAACAUGGCUUAGGAUUUGCUCAUCUUUGGCUUACUUGACAAUUAGUCUGCUCGUAAUCCAGAUUAGUUCAUUAGCCUAAAAACUUGCAUGCUGUUAUUUUAUCUCUUGAAAUUUUUAUUAAAUAUAUCCUGAUUACAGCUUGGAUCUUUUAUUUAAAAUGUUUUAACCAGUUAUUGAGGGUUUGAUAUCAUUUUGUUUCUCAAAUUACUUAGCUCUGUUAUUCAUACCUAGUGUCUGGGAACUUUCUGAAUUGCUGUUUGUUAUCCUUCUCUUAUAUAUAUUUUAUUGUGGCCAGAAAACAGUCUAUGAUUUGAUUUCUGUUAAAUUAAUUGAGAUUUAUUUUAUGGCUGAAAAUACGGCCUAAUGCGGUGAAUAUUCUGUGUG